GGAUCAAAACUUGGAAAUGCAAAUUUCAUCACAUUACAAACUGCAGAUAAUAUAAAUAAGUAGAUAUCAACAGCAAAGAAUUACAUAAUGAACUGAUACUAAUUUGCCUAUAGCCUAUAGCAUGUCAUCAAAGCUUAUAAAGCCUCUUGUGCACGGUGAGCACAGUAGCAAGCAUAUCCAUAAGUAGAUCUCUGUAUCCACACCUCUGCAUGUAUACGUGUUGUGUGUCUCUCACAAAGUAGAGGAAUUUCUGGAGCCAUGCAUCUUUUGAUCCUGUGAAUGAGGAGGUAGAGAUGGAGAUGACACUGCUGCAUGGUAAGAAGAUGAAGCAAGUUGGGCUAGCGCUGGAACAGCACCACCUGCUAAACCCGCGCAGGCAGAAGAGAAUACUAUUACAGGACCGAUAAGGAAAUGCAUCCACAUUGGUCCUUUUACCCACUUUCUAACAAUUGGCAUCACAU
Molecule: unclassified non-coding RNA, 461 nt
Filed under: Hevea brasiliensis (rubber tree)
Lineage: Eukaryota; Viridiplantae; Streptophyta; Magnoliopsida; Malpighiales; Euphorbiaceae
Source: RNAcentral